UACGUAGGGAGCAAGCGUUGUCCGGAUUUAUUGGGCGUAAAGAGCGCGUAGGCGGCCCGGAAAGUCGGAUGUGAAAACCCGGGGCUCAACCCCGGGCCUGCAUCCGAUACUCCCGGGCUGGAGGCAGGUAGGGGAGAUCGGAAUUCCUGGUGUAGCGGUGAAAUGCGCAGAUAUCAGGAGGAACACCGGUGGCGAAGGCGGAUCUCUGGGCCUGUCCUGACGCUGAGGCGCGAAAGCUAGGGGAGCGAACAGG
RNAcentral lists this ribosomal RNA (253 nucleotides) under uncultured bacterium. RNAcentral describes it as "partial 16S ribosomal RNA". It matches the Rfam family "Bacterial small subunit ribosomal RNA", at positions 524 to 776 of the family's 1533-position model. The record is from RNAcentral.